GUGAGGAUAGCUCAGUGGUAGGGCAUGUGCUUAGCAUGCACAAGGUCCUGGGUUCGGUCCCCAGUCCCUCCG
This 72-nucleotide transfer RNA is filed under the name Camelus bactrianus (Bactrian camel). It matches the Rfam family "tRNA". Rfam says of the family: Transfer RNA (tRNA) molecules are approximately 80 nucleotides in length. Their secondary structure includes four short double-helical elements and three loops (D, anti-codon, and T loops). Lineage: Eukaryota; Metazoa; Chordata; Mammalia; Artiodactyla; Camelidae. The record is from Rfam by way of RNAcentral. RNAcentral also lists the same sequence under 1 other name.